ACUGAGUGGUUAUAUGGUGGUGAGAAUAGCGCAGGCAUUGCAGUCUAUGAGGGUUCGAGCUCCCAUCGCUGUUAAUGAACUCACACUUGAUCCAAAUGAUAAACAGCUGUCAGAGAGGAAUCUGUCCAGGAUCGUGAGCAGUUUGGCCAUCCUUCUGAGACUCUGGACUGUCCAGUGUUUGAACUUGACUGAAUACAAGAUUCAGUCUGUUUCUGUGUCUGUCCUACUGUGUCAUCAGGGACCUGUGAUUCUCAGACCAUCAAAGGAGACUCUCCAGAAUCUGGUUGAAUGUGUCUAUGAAGCUCAGGAAGAAGAACUGACUCAAUGCUUCCUGCAGAAAGUGGGUGGAGAUCUGACUUCCUGUUCCUUAAACUGGGAAGAGCUUCAUUAUUUCUUGCAGCACAAAAUUCAACUCAUCUCUGUGGACUUCAGAAAGAGCAACAUUCAAUGCAGCAUCAAUGAAAUCCUGCCAUUUCUAAACAGGAUUAAGUUUAAACGGAUGAGCUCUAGCUUCAUGCUGUCUGUGAUCAGAGAGAUCUAUGAGUCCGGCUCUGUGGGUUUUGUGUCCGGUCUGUUGAGUUCAGUGAAGAACUACCUUAAUCUGCAGAGCAGAGAGCUGGACUCUGUUCACUGUGCGGCCCUGCGCUUCACACUGCAGCACUGCACUGCAGUUUCACUCAAUCUACAGUGGACCUCCAUACCAGAGGAAGAGCUGGAGAGCAUUCUGCUUCUCUUCACACAUGUCUCCCAUCUCAGGUCUCACUGCUUUUCUCUAUGGGUGCUUCUCAAUAGGAAGGCUUCAUCAUAA
Molecule: long non-coding RNA, 808 nt
Organism: Cyprinus carpio (common carp)
Lineage: Eukaryota; Metazoa; Chordata; Actinopteri; Cypriniformes; Cyprinidae
Source: Ensembl